CAAUAGCGUAUAUUAAAGUUGUUGCAGUUAAAAAGCUCGUAGUUGGAUUUCUGGUUGAAGCGACCGGUCGGGCGUUGAUUCGUCUGCACUGGAGUCGGUUUUGGCCAUCCUCUAGGAAAGUGCGUCUGGUAUUAAGUUAUCGGGCGUAUGAUCCUGGUCUUUUACUGUGAAAAAAUUAGAGUGUUUAAAGCAGGCCUUCGCCUUGAAUACAUUAGCAUGGAAUAAUAAGAUAGGACUUUGGUGCUAUUUUGUUGGUUGAGCCUAAAGUAAUGAUUAAUAGGGAUAGUUGGGGGCACCUGUAUUGCGUUGUCAGAGGUGAAAUUCUUGGAUUUACGCAAGACAAACAGCUGCGAAAGCGUCUGCCAAGGAUGUUUNCAUUA
RNAcentral lists this ribosomal RNA (380 nucleotides) under uncultured eukaryote. RNAcentral's name for it is "partial 18S ribosomal RNA". It matches the Rfam family "Eukaryotic small subunit ribosomal RNA", at positions 592 to 975 of the family's 1831-position model. The record is from RNAcentral.